UGGGGAAUUUUGGACAAUGGGCGAAAGCCUGAUCCAGCAAUGCCGCGUGUGUGAAGAAGGCCUUCGGGUUGUAAAGCACUUUUGUCCGGAAAGAAAUCCUUGGCUCUAAUACAGUCGGGGGAUGACGGUACCGGAAGAAUAAGCACCGGCUAACUACGUGCCAGCAGCCGCGGUAAUACGUAGGGUGCAAGCGUUAAUCGGAAUUACUGGGCGUAAGCGUGCGCAGGCGGUUUGCUAAGACCGAUGUGAAAUCCCCGGGCUCAACCUGGGAACUGCAUUGGUGACUGGCAGGCUAGAGUAUGGCAGGAGGGGGGUAGAAUUCCACGUGUAGCAGUGAAAUGCGUAGAGAUGUGGAGGAAUACCGAUGGCG
Molecule: ribosomal RNA, 370 nt
Filed under: uncultured bacterium
Lineage: Bacteria
Description: partial 16S ribosomal RNA
Rfam family: Bacterial small subunit ribosomal RNA
Source: RNAcentral